GAUGAACGCUAGCGGCAGGCUUAACACAUGCAAGUCGAGGGGCAGCAUGAGACGGAGAUUCGUCGAAGUCUUGAUGGCGACCGGCGCAAGGGUGCGUAACGCGUGAGCAACUUGCCCGUUUCAGGGGCAUAACCGGUGGAAACGCCGACUAAUUCCCCAUAGUAUCAUCGAGAGGCAUCUUUUGAUGAUUAAAGAAUUUCGGAAACGGAUAGGCUCGCGUGACAUUAGCUAGAUGGCGGGGUAACGGCCCACCAUGGCGACGAUGUCUAGGGGUUCUGAGAGGAAGGUCCCCCACACUGGAACUGAGACACGGUCCAGACUCCUACGGGAGGCAGCAGUGAGGAAUAUUGGUCAAUGGUCUGACGACUGAACCAGCCAUGCCGCGUGAAGGUCACGGCCCUAUGGGUCUUAAACUUCUUUUGCAAGGGAGCAAUAAGGUCUACGUGUAGAUCGAUGAGAGUACCUUGCGAAUAAGCAUCGGCUAACU
This 487-nucleotide ribosomal RNA is filed under the name uncultured bacterium. RNAcentral's name for it is "bacterial SSU rRNA". It matches the Rfam family "Bacterial small subunit ribosomal RNA", at positions 28 to 502 of the family's 1533-position model. The record is from RNAcentral.